CGGCCUCUGUCCCCCUGGCGAUCCCCCCUGCAACUCCUCCACCACGGGCCAGAGACCCCCCUCUCCGGGCGGCAGACACGGGUGGCUUGUGCCGGCUGGUUGGAAGCAGAGAUAACACCACUUGGAGUUCGAUUCUCUCCCAUGGUCAGCCAUGUUGUUUUUGCAGUAUUGACCUUUGCGCCAGCUUAUGGGAUGGACCCUGACUGGCUAAAGCCAAUAAUCCUAUCCUAUUCUAUGCCAUCUCAUCCUACUGGCUACCAUGAUUUGGUUCAUGAUGGCAGAAACCCAGUCAGAACAAACGAAACCUGUGUAGAAGUUUUCCAGGGCUUCUGGGAAAAACUAAGGGUCUCUCUCCCCCUUGAGAGCCACUCCUUCUGUGGUCCGCAUAGUGUGAAGAUAUAAAGAUGUGAACAGCCUCUUUACUACUAACAUGGAAGACCUUGGAACUGCCAACAGGAACCUGUGUGAGGCCUGAAGAAGUAGGUGAUGGCUUCUACCACGGAAGGUAGAAGGCAGAAGGAAAUAUGGAGAGGAACAGAGCUGGUCCUUGAUGAUACUACAUCAAAGUGUUCCUGAAGCUAGCAUCAUCCCUGGCCUUUUCAGUGAUGCAAGUUUACACAUCACAUUAUUCUUCCAACCAUUUUGAGCAGGAUUUCCUGCCAUUUUCAUUAGAGGGGCUUCUAACUCAAAUUUUGGUUUUGUCAAAUCGAUGACAGGUUACUACCCUCUCAGUGAGUUAUCCUGGGAAAAUGGGGUCAUACCAUGGGUUUCUGCUUCACUAUUUUGUUUAGUGUGUUGUUUUCAAAUGGAUACCUUACCUUCUUAAAUGAUUUUCCUACUCGUCUCCCUGUCCACACUUUACAACGCACAUCAAGUACCGCCUUCCCUAUGUAUUAAUUACUGAGCAAGAAUUAUAAACACUGGAGUUUUAUCUCUGUUGAGGCUGCCCCAGGUAGUGGCUAAGAGCACAUGUGUUACAUUACACAGACAUGAUUUUGAACCCUGGCUUUAUAAUUUACUAGCUAUCUGACUUUGGACAAUUUACCUAAACUCUCUAAGACAUUUCUCCCAACCUGCAAAAAUAUUGUUAAUAAUAACAUCUUGUCUUAGGCAACUUUGUGAAGAUAGAAUGAGAUAACUCAUGUAUAACGUUUAUCAUGGUGCUUGGCACAGAGUAAAUGCUCAAUAAAUGUUGCUGCUGUUAUUAGUGUUAUUAUACUUAUCAAGGAAUCUACCAUAUUGAAAGAGCCCAAUAAAUCUAAUCUUCUGUUAUUAGAAGAUUACUAAUACUGGCUAUAUGAGUUGUUUAAAAAUUGAUGAAUGGAUAGUUGAAUGAAUACAUGGUAAAUGAAAACACGAAUGAAUGAAUGAAUGAAUGGGAGCUGGAAACUGAGAGGCAAGGCCACAAAGUUACGGGGCUGGGCCAGGGGAUAAGCAGGAGGAGGACAGAAUAGAAAGCCACCCUGUGCUUUAUGAGAAUGCCCUUCCCAUGAUCUGUGUCCCCGUCAGGUGGAAUGUUCUGCAGGGCUGCUCCCUUCAUACUCUCAUUACUGCAGGUCAUUUGUCAGGAGCUUUUUGAUGGGCAGCUUUACAGAUAGCCAUAAAGCAGCACUUAUGGCCAAAGUCAUCACACUUUGUUGAGCUCUGUGCUUAGGGUGUCCACAUAAUUUUCUCUUUUUUCUCUGGGUUCCUAGUCACUCAGUGCACAGAUGGAAUUUAGUAUGGAUGGCUUAAUCCAUUCCAGUGGCCCCCCCAUAGCCUCUGGGAUAAAAUUCAAAGGACCUCAAAACCCAAAAGGCCAGUAAGAAUAAGUAGGAUAAUGUGGGCAUUUAAUGAGUACUUACUUUAGUACAGGCCUAAGACUUGCCAGGUCAAGAUAGCUGGCCACUUUGAAUGGACCACCCCAUCCAACCUUCACAAUUGUAUAUGGCAGCUACACUCAUAAGCUCAACAUUGCUGAUGAAGAAACAGAGACACGUCAAGGUUACAUUGCUUAUUCAACUUCGCAGGGCUAUGGUGUGGCACCGAUAGGAUUUUAUCCUAGCCAGCCAACAGCUGGAACCUCUGCCCAAAGGGCUUUCGUCUUCACUAUCAUCUACCUUGUGUUGACUCCUACAGCACUUGAAGCUACAAAUGCAACUGUCCCUCUCUUGCCUUUAGAGUCCUCCGAAACAAACCCUACUGAAGUGAUUUCUUAAAAUUCUUCAAAUGUGGUGACAUUAGAGUUGCUUUGGGAUGAUUUAAAGAGCUCAUAUUUAUAGAUUUCUUCAAAGAAGAGGUUUUUAAAAUUUCUCUUCUUAGUCCAUUAUCCUCAGUAGCCAAUAGAUGAGCACUUGGACUAUAGUCUAGACCUGGAAUUCAAGGGACUGCAUGGCAUUCUCGGUGUUAGGCAUCUGAACUACCCACCUGGUUCUCACAGCCAAGCUUGGCCAGGCUGGCUUUAGCUGGAGUUCUCUUUUAGACAUCCUUUUGUCUCAAGUUGGCCAAGAAGGUACGUAAUUUGCAGGGCCCCACCCCCCUACUCCACAGAGCAGAUUUAGGUGAGGGAUUUGGAGCUGAGAAACAAUAAGUUAAUAACUAGCACACUGGCAGCUCACCGAAGUUCUCUUAACUCUGGGAAGGGGCUGCAGUCCACGGGGAUGGGCCCUUGGCAGUCACUUUUGUGCUGUGUGUAUUUGUCCUCUAUUGGACAGAGCAAGAACACAUGACUCGAGCCAGCCAAUCACAUUCUGUCUUCCGGGAACGGUCACAGAACCCGAGUCAUGUAACAGCUGGGGAGACCAUCUUCCACCAAACAGAUGUAGCUCAGAGGAAACUUGUCUUUCAUGAUUAUAGUCUAGAGCAAAGCAAGUGAAGUAGAAAGGAAAGGAAAGGAGAGUGAGCGAGAGAGAAAAUAUACCUCGAUGGCUUUCUAUUUACUGAACCCGUCUCUUGGGAGGGUUGGCUCACACCCUAGUCUCUCUGAGAUACCCCUACCCUUGUACAAAAGAUAAAUGGGCAUUUUGCAUCAGCUAAAUAAAUUGAUUUCUGUUCUUACCCCCUAAAAUCACAGAUUAAUAAGACAACCAAAUCUUUACUGCUCAGAGCAGAUUCAAACCCUUUUUGAAACAAUGUGUCUUAGAAAUAACAUAAAUAACUCCAUGGUCAGAAAGAUGGUUGGCCAACUUCCUUGACAAAAGGCAAGAAAUAAGAAGAGUUAUUUAUUCAACGUUUUUAGUGACAAAUGACAAUAAAAAUUUCGAAAUUGUC
Long non-coding RNA from Herpailurus yagouaroundi (jaguarundi), 3249 nucleotides. RefSeq lists it as uncharacterized. The transcript is spliced from 2 exons. The record is from RefSeq and is a predicted model, not a curated record. Lineage: Eukaryota; Metazoa; Chordata; Mammalia; Carnivora; Felidae.